GAUGAACGCUGGCGGCGUGCCUAAUACAUGCAAGUCGAACGCUUCACUUCGGUGAAGAGUGGCGAACGGGUGAGUAAUACAUAAGUAACCUGGCAUCUACAGGGGGAUAACUGAUGGAAACGUCAGCUAAGACCGCAUAGGUGUAGAGAUCGCAUGAACUCUAUAUGAAAAGUGCUACGGGACUGGUAGAUGAUGGACUUAUGGCGCAUUAGCUUGUUGGUAGGGUAACGGCCUACCAAGGCGACGAUGCGUAGCCGACCUGAGAGGGUGACCGGCCACACUGGGACUGAGACACGGCCCAGACUCCUACGGGAGGCAGCAGUAGGGAAUUUUCGGCAAUGGGGGAAACCCUGACCGAGCAACGCCGCGUGAAGGAAGAAGUAAUUCGUUAUGUAAACUUCUGUCAUAGAGGAAGAACGGUGGAUAUAGGGAAUGAUAUCCAAGUGACGGUAC
This 453-nucleotide ribosomal RNA is filed under the name uncultured bacterium. RNAcentral's name for it is "bacterial SSU rRNA". It matches the Rfam family "Bacterial small subunit ribosomal RNA", at positions 28 to 478 of the family's 1533-position model. The record is from RNAcentral.